Molecule: ribosomal RNA, 1000 nt
Filed under: Sphingobacteriales bacterium 05-02PB
Lineage: Bacteria; Pseudomonadati; Bacteroidota; Sphingobacteriia; Sphingobacteriales
Description: bacterial SSU rRNA
Rfam family: Bacterial small subunit ribosomal RNA
Source: RNAcentral
AUGUAACCUACCUUAAUCUGGGGGAUAGCCUCUCGAAAGAGAGAUUAACACCGCAUAACAUCACGCUACGGCAUUGUAAUGUGAUCAAAUAUUUAUAGGAUUAAGAUGGGCAUGCGGAACAUUAGCUAGUUGGUAAGGUAAUGGCUUACCAAGGCUACGAUGUUUAGGGGAUCUGAGAGGAUGACCCCCCACACUGGUACUGAGACACGGACCAGACUCCUACGGGAGGCAGCAGUAAGGAAUAUUGGUCAAUGGGCGGAAGCCUGAACCAGCCAUGCCGCGUGCAGGAAGACGGCCCUACGGGUUGUAAACUGCUUUUGUACCGGAAUAAACCUUGAUUCGUGAAUCAAGCUGAAUGUACGGUAAGAAUAAGGAUCGGCUAACUCCGUGCCAGCAGCCGCGGUAAUACGGAGGAUCCGAGCGUUAUCCGGAUUUAUUGGGUUUAAAGGGUGCGUAGGCGGCUUUUUAAGUCAGGGGUGAAAGACGGUAGCUCAACUAUCGCAGUGCCUUUGAUACUGAAGAGCUUGAAUACACUUGAGGUAGGCGGAAUGUGACAAGUAGCGGUGAAAUGCAUAGAUAUGUCACAGAACACCAAUUGCGAAGGCAGCUUACUAAAGUGUGAUUGACGCUGAGGCACGAAAGCGUGGGGAUCAAACAGGAUUAGAUACCCUGGUAGUCCACGCCCUAAACGAUGAAUACUCGAUGUUGGCGAUAUACGGUCAGCGUCUAAGCGAAAGCGUUAAGUAUUCCACCUGGGGAGUACGCCCGCAAGGGUGAAACUCAAAGGAAUUGACGGGGGCCCGCACAAGCGGAGGAGCAUGUGGUUUAAUUCGAUGAUACGCGAGGAACCUUACCCGGGCUUGAAAGUUAGUGAAUGAUCCAGAGACGGAUCAGCUCUUCGGAGCACGAAACUAGGUGCUGCAUGGCUGUCGUCAGCUCGUGCCGUGAGGUGUUGGGUUAAGUCCCGCAACGAGCGCAACCCCUAUGUUUAGUUGCCAGC